UACGUAGGGCGCAAGCGUUGUCCGGAAUUAUUGGGCGUAAAGAGCUCGUAGGCGGCUUGUCACGUCGGUUGUGAAAGCCCGGGGCUUAACCCCGGGUCUGCAGUCGAUACGGGCAGGCUAGAGUUCGGUAGGGGAGAUCGGAAUUCCUGGUGUAGCGGUGAAAUGCGCAGAUAUCAGGAGGAACACCGGUGGCGAAGGCGGAUCUCUGGGCCGAUACUGACGCUGAGGAGCGAAAGCGUGGGGAG
RNAcentral lists this ribosomal RNA (245 nucleotides) under uncultured Streptomyces sp. RNAcentral describes it as "partial 16S ribosomal RNA". It matches the Rfam family "Bacterial small subunit ribosomal RNA", at positions 524 to 768 of the family's 1533-position model. The record is from RNAcentral. Lineage: Bacteria; Bacillati; Actinomycetota; Actinomycetes; Kitasatosporales; Streptomycetaceae.